UACCAGACUCCUACGGGAGGCAGCAGUGAGGAAUAUUGGUCAAUGGCCGGAAGGCUGAACCAGCCAAGCCGCGUGAGGGAGGAAGGCGCAGAGCGUCGCAGACCUCUUUUGCCGGGGGACAAAAGGCCGGACUCGUCCGGUCCUGAGGGUACCCGGAGAAAAAGCAUCGGCUAACUCCGUGCCAGCAGCCGCGGUAAUACGUAGGUGGCAAGCGUUAUCCGGAUUUACUGGGUGUAAAGGGCGUGUAGGCGGGGACGCAAGUCAGAUGUGAAAACCACGGGCUCAACCUGUGGCCUGCAUUUGAAACUGUGUUUCUUGAGUACUGGAGAGGCAGACGGAAUUCCUAGUGUAGCGGUGAAAUGCGUAGAUAUUAGGAGGAACACCAGUGGCGAAGGCGGUCUGCUGGACAGCAACUGACGCUGAGGCGCGAAAGCGUGGGGAGCAAACAGGAUUAGAUACCCUGGUAAC
Molecule: ribosomal RNA, 468 nt
Filed under: uncultured bacterium
Lineage: Bacteria
Description: bacterial SSU rRNA
Rfam family: Bacterial small subunit ribosomal RNA
Source: RNAcentral